This 261-nucleotide unclassified non-coding RNA is filed under the name Ascomycota sp. RNAcentral describes it as "partial contains small subunit ribosomal RNA, internal transcribed spacer 1, and 5.8S ribosomal RNA". The stretch from base 1 to 47 matches the Rfam family "Eukaryotic small subunit ribosomal RNA", at positions 1785 to 1831 of the family's 1831-position model. The record is from RNAcentral. Lineage: Eukaryota; Fungi; Ascomycota.
AAAGUCGUAACAAGGUUUCCGUAGGUGAACCUGCGGAAGGAUCAUUACACUCAGUAGAUCUCUACUGCUCAGGAAGAGCGGAAAGUUUCCAGCUUGCUGGUUUGCGAGUACGCUCUGUCUGAACCCUUGUCUUUUUGCGUACUCAUGUUUCCUCGGCGGGCUUGCCCGCCGGCUGGACAACCUAAUAACCUUUUUAAUAUUCAAUCAGCGUCUGAAUAAUUAUAAUAAUUACAACUUUCAACAACGGAUCUCUUGGUUCUG